This 253-nucleotide ribosomal RNA is filed under the name uncultured bacterium. Its description in RNAcentral is "partial 16S ribosomal RNA". It matches the Rfam family "Bacterial small subunit ribosomal RNA", at positions 524 to 776 of the family's 1533-position model. The record is from RNAcentral.
UACAUGGGGUGCAAACGUUGCUCGGAAUUAUUGGGCGUAAAGCGCACGUAGGCGGUUUGUUAAGUCGGAUGUGAAAUCCCUCGGCUCAACUGAGGAAGUGCAUCCGAAACUGGCAAGCUUGAGUACGAAAGAGGGUCGCGGAAUCCCCGGUGUAGAGGUGAAAUUCGUAGAUAUCGGGAGGAACACCGGUGGCGAAGGCGGCGACCUGGGUCGAUACUGACACUGAGGAGCGAAAGCGUGGGGAGCGAACAGG